RNAcentral lists this ribosomal RNA (241 nucleotides) under uncultured bacterium. RNAcentral's name for it is "partial 16S ribosomal RNA". It matches the Rfam family "Bacterial small subunit ribosomal RNA", at positions 333 to 566 of the family's 1533-position model. The record is from RNAcentral.
GUACUCCUACGGGAGGCAGCAGUAGGGAAUCUUCCACAAUGGGCGAAAGCCUGAUGGAGCAACGCCGCGUGGGUGAAGAAGGUCUUCGGAUCGUAAAACCCUGUUGUUAGAGAAGAAAGUGCGUGAGAGUAACUGUUCACAUUUCGACGGUAUCUAACCAGAAAGCCACGGCUAACUACGUGCCAGCAGCCGCGGUGAUACGUAGGUGGCAAGCGUUAUCCGGAUUUAUUGGGCGUAAAGG